This is a long non-coding RNA of Solanum pennellii, 1440 nucleotides long. RefSeq lists it as uncharacterized. The record is from RefSeq and is a predicted model, not a curated record. NCBI's taxonomy places the organism in Eukaryota, Viridiplantae, Streptophyta, Magnoliopsida, Solanales, Solanaceae. The transcript is spliced from 5 exons.
UUGAUCUUGAAAAUGAGAUGUUUUAUCCGUGGUGACCAACUGGCUCCAUAGCUAAGCUCUUAAGGGGCCUUCACAAAAUAUAGGCAGAAUGACGUCAAAAUUUCAGAUGAUCAAAUAUCCAUGGAGCACACGAAAAUUCGACAAAAUAGAGGGUUUACUUGCUCUGGGGCUCAUUUGACCUUGAAAAUGGGCCGUUUUGGUGAUCCAGAAUUUCGACGUCUUCUUUGCCCAAAAUUUUUUGUGACGUCCGUUAAGAGGUUAGCUAUGGAGCCACUUGGUCCUGACGGCCAAAACGGUUCAUUUUCAAGGUCAAACGAGCCUCGGAGCAGGUAUACCCCAUUUUAUCAAUUUUCGUGUACUAUAGUUUAUGGAUUUUUGGUGAUAAGGAAUUACGUCAUCUUUUUUGCCAAAAUUUUUCAUAGACGUUCGUUUAGACGUUAGCUAUGGAUCUAGUUGGCCCUGACUGUCAAAACGACCCAUUUUCAAGGUCAAACAAGCCCCGAAGCAGGUAUACUCUCCAUAUUGUCAAUUUUCGUGUGUUAUAGUCCAUGAAUCUCUGGUGAUCCAGAAUUUCAAUGUCUUUUUCGUUCAAAUUUCUCGUGGACGUCCGAUAAGACGCUAACUAUGGAGUCAAUUGGUCCUGACGGCUAAAACGACCCAUUUUGAAGGCCAAACGAGCCUCGAAGAACCUAAACCCCCCAUUUUGCCGAUUAUCGUGUGCUAUUGUCCAUAGAUUUUUGGUGAUAUGCUAUUUCGACGUCUUUUUUGCUCAAAUUUUUCGUGGACGUUCGUUAAGACAUUAACUAUGGAGCCAGAUAUCCCUGAUGGCCAAAACGACCCCGUAUUCAAGGUCACACGAGCUUCGAAGUAGACGUUAUCUAUAGAGCCAGUUGACCCUGACGGCCAAAAUGGACCAUUUUGAAGCUCAAACGAACCCCGGAGCAGAUGCUAGUUAUGGAGUCAUUUGAUCCUGACGGCCAAAACGAUCCAUUUUGAAGGUCAAACGAGCCUCGAAGCAAAUGUUAGUUACGAAGCUAGUUGGCCCUGACGGCCAAAACGAACCAUUUUCAAGGUCGAACAAGCUCCUAAGCAGACGUCUAAUAUGAUGUUAGCUAUGGAGCCAGUUGGCCUUGACGACCAAAAUGACCCAUUUUCAAUUCCCUAAACAAAAUAGCCGAAGUUUUUCAUGGACGUCUAUUAAGACCUUAGGUUUGGAUCAGUUCGUCCUGCGUGGAAUAAUGGUGAAUCUUCAAGUUUCAAACGAGCCCCAAAGCAGGCAUAAACAUAUUUUUUUUUACAGAUUUUCGUGUGCUAUGAUCCAUGGAUUUUUUUUAUCCGAAAAUCCCAAAAUAAAAUGACCAAAAAUUUUCAUGGAUGUCUGUUAAGAUCUUAGAAAUGGAAAUAAUUCGUCCCGUGGUGAAAAAUGGUGCAUUUUAUGUU